Molecule: ribosomal RNA, 437 nt
Filed under: uncultured Pseudoflavonifractor sp.
Lineage: Bacteria; Bacillati; Bacillota; Clostridia; Eubacteriales; Oscillospiraceae
Description: partial 16S ribosomal RNA
Rfam family: Bacterial small subunit ribosomal RNA
Source: RNAcentral
ACGGAAGGCAGCAGUGGGGAAUAUUGGGCAAUGGGCGGAAGCCUGACCCAGCAACGCCGCGUGAAGGAAGAAGGCCUUCGGGUUGUAAACUUCUUUUACCAGGGACGAAGGACGUGACGGUACCUGGAGAAAAAGCCACGGCUAACUACGUGCCAGCAGCCGCUGUAAUACGUAGGUUGCAAGCGUUGUCCGGAUUUACUGGGUGUAAAGGGCGUGUAGGCGGAGCUGUAAGUCAGAUGUGAAAUCCCGGGGCUCAACCACGGAACUGCAUUUGAAACUGUAGCCCUUGAGUAUAGGAGAGGCAAGCGGAAUUCCUAGUGUAGCGGUGAAAUGCGUAGAUAUUAGGAGGAACACCAGUGGCGAAGGCGGCUUGCUGGACGACAACUGACGCUGAGGCGAGAAAGCGUGGGGAGCAAACAGGAUUAGAUACCCUGGUA